GGAUGUGAGGGUGAUCUGGCUGCAACAUCUGUCACCCCAUUGAUCGCCAGGGUUGAUUCAGCUGAUCUGGCUGGCUGGGCGGGUGUCCCCUUCCUCCCUCACUGCUCCAUGUGCAUCCCUCCUGAAGCUGUCUCUCCCUCUCCUUCUCUCUCUCUAUAAGUUCGACUUUCAAAUAAAGAAAUAAAUAUUUUAAAAAAAUAGAAAAAAACUAAAUGUUCAUUAAUCAGAAAACUGACUAUAUUAACAGGGUACAAUCAUACGGGAAAAAAACCAUAUUUUUUUAAGGAAUACAAAUUUCAUAAGGACAAGUUU
RNAcentral lists this small nuclear RNA (312 nucleotides) under Oryctolagus cuniculus (rabbit). Its description in RNAcentral is "7SK RNA". It matches the Rfam family "7SK RNA". From Rfam's summary of the family: 7SK was discovered as an abundant small nuclear RNA in the mid-70s but a possible function has only recently been suggested. Lineage: Eukaryota; Metazoa; Chordata; Mammalia; Lagomorpha; Leporidae. The record is from Rfam by way of RNAcentral.